This 27-nucleotide small RNA is filed under the name Bombyx mori (domestic silkworm). RNAcentral's name for it is "ovarian small RNA-14307". The record is from RNAcentral. Lineage: Eukaryota; Metazoa; Arthropoda; Insecta; Lepidoptera; Bombycidae.
CGCAACUGGGCAAACGAAUGUGUGGGA